This is a long non-coding RNA of Hibiscus syriacus, 362 nucleotides long. RefSeq lists it as uncharacterized. The record is from RefSeq and is a predicted model, not a curated record. The transcript is spliced from 2 exons. NCBI's taxonomy places the organism in Eukaryota, Viridiplantae, Streptophyta, Magnoliopsida, Malvales, Malvaceae.
GCAACCUCCCACUGGUUUGGCCAUUCACCACAACAUAGACGAGGGAAUCAAAAUUCAAGGUUUUCCACCUGUAUUCCUCGUUCUCUAUUCCACCAUUCAAUUGAGAGGUAGAUCACAAAGGAAGAAGAAGUGUAUCUGAUCAGUAAAUCGGAAUGGCAAUGCACGGGAUGAGAGGGCUCACAAUUUUCAUUAGCGUUGUUCGGAAUUGCCAGAACAAAGAGCUAGAAUGCUUACGCGUCGAUAAAGAGCUCGACAACAUCCGUAAUCAAUUCAAAAAAGAAAAGAAAAUUUGCUUGUUUAUCCACCAGAACAUGUUAUCUUUGGAGACUAUGUCUAUGAGUUAUGGGAUGAGGAGACGAUAA